Small nucleolar RNA from Dicentrarchus labrax (European seabass), 70 nucleotides. The record is from Ensembl. Lineage: Eukaryota; Metazoa; Chordata; Actinopteri; Moronidae.
UCUCUUGAAUGACUUUAAAAUAGUGCCACGUUUCUGGGCCACUGAUCUUAGUGAUGGGAUUGAAGAGUGA